AUACGUAGGUGGCGAGCGUUGUCCGGAAUUACUGGGUGUAAAGGGAGCGCAGACGGAGAAGCAAGUCUGAUGUGAAAGCCCGCGGCUCAACCGCGGGACUGCAUUGGAAACUGUUUAUCUGGAGAACUGGAAGGGCAAGCGGAUUUCCGGGUGUAGCGGUGAAAUGCGUAGAUAUCAGGAGGAACACCGGUGGCGAAGGCGGCUUGCUGGGCAGUAACUGACGUUGAGGCUCGAAAGCGUGGGGAGCAAACAGGAUUAGAUACCCUGGUAGUCCACGCUGUAAACGAUGAAUACUAGGUGUUGGGAGGCAAAGCCUUUCAGUGCCGUCGCAAACGCAAUAAGUAUUCCACCUGGGGAGUACGUUCGCAAGAAUGAAACUCAAAUGAAUUGACGGGG
This 396-nucleotide ribosomal RNA is filed under the name uncultured bacterium. Its description in RNAcentral is "partial 16S ribosomal RNA". It matches the Rfam family "Bacterial small subunit ribosomal RNA", at positions 523 to 918 of the family's 1533-position model. The record is from RNAcentral.